RNAcentral lists this ribosomal RNA (1377 nucleotides) under Alcaligenes faecalis. Its description in RNAcentral is "bacterial SSU rRNA". It matches the Rfam family "Bacterial small subunit ribosomal RNA". The record is from RNAcentral. Lineage: Bacteria; Pseudomonadati; Pseudomonadota; Betaproteobacteria; Burkholderiales; Alcaligenaceae.
GCGAGUGGCGGACGGGUGAGUAAUAUAUCGGAACGUGCCCAGUAGCGGGGGAUAACUACUCGAAAGAGUGGCUAAUACCGCAUACGCCCUACGGGGGAAAGGGGGGGAUCGCAAGACCUCUCACUAUUGGAGCGGCCGAUAUCGGAUUAGCUAGUUGGUGGGGUAAAGGCUCACCAAGGCAACGAUCCGUAGCUGGUUUGAGAGGACGACCAGCCACACUGGGACUGAGACACGGCCCAGACUCCUACGGGAGGCAGCAGUGGGGAAUUUUGGACAAUGGGGGAAACCCUGAUCCAGCCAUCCCGCGUGUAUGAUGAAGGCCUUCGGGUUGUAAAGUACUUUUGGCAGAGAAGAAAAGGUACCUCCUAAUACGAGGUACUGCUGACGGUAUCUGCAGAAUAAGCACCGGGCUAACUACGUGCCAGCAGCCGCGGUAAUACGUAGGGUGCAAGCGUUAAUCGGAAUUACUGGGCGUAAAGCGUGUGUAGGCGGUUCGGAAAGAAAGAUGUGAAAUCCCAGGGCUCAACCUUGGAACUGCAUUUUUAACUGCCGAGCUAGAGUAUGUCAGAGGGGGGUAGAAUUCCACGUGUAGCAGUGAAAUGCGUAGAUAUGUGGAGGAAUACCGAUGGCGAAGGCAGCCCCCUGGGAUAAUACUGACGCUCAGACACGAAAGCGUGGGGAGCAAACAGGAUUAGAUACCCUGGUAGUCCACGCCCUAAACGAUGUCAACUAGCUGUUGGGGCCGUUAGGCCUUAGUAGCGCAGCUAACGCGUGAAGUUGACCGCCUGGGGAGUACGGUCGCAAGAUUAAAACUCAAAGGAAUUGACGGGGACCCGCACAAGCGGUGGAUGAUGUGGAUUAAUUCGAUGCAACGGGGAAAACCUUACCUACCCUUGACAUGUCUGGAAAGCCGAAGAGAUUUGGCCGUGCUCGCAAGAGAACCGGAACACAGGUGCUGCAUGGCUGUCGUCAGCUCGUGUCGUGAGAUGUUGGGUUAAGUCCCGCAACGAGCGCAACCCUUGUCAUUAGUUGCUACGCAAGAGCACUCUAAUGAGACUGCCGGUGACAAACCGGAGGAAGGUGGGGAUGACGUCAAGUCCUCAUGGCCCUUAUGGGUAGGGCUUCACACGUCAUACAAUGGUCGGGACAGAGGGUCGCCAACCCGCGAGGGGGAGCCAAUCUCAGAAACCCGAUCGUAGUCCGGAUCGCAGUCUGCAACUCGACUGCGUGAAGUCGGAAUCGCUAGUAAUCGCGGAUCAGAAUGUCGCGGUGAAUACGUUCCCGGGUCUUGUACACACCGCCCGUCACACCAUGGGAGUGGGUUUCACCAGAAGUAGGUAGCCUAACCGUAAGGAGGGCGCUACCACGUGAUACGGG